GACGAACGCUGGCGGCGUGCUUAACACAUGCAAGUCGAACGGAAAGGCCCUGCUUUUGUGGGGUGCUCGAGUGGCGAACGGGUGAGUAACACGUGAGUAACCUGCCCUUGACUUUGGGAUAACUUCAGGAAACUGGGGCUAAUACCGGAUAGGAGCUCCUGCUGCAUGGUGGGGGUUGGAAAGUUUCGGCGGUUGGGGAUGGACUCGCGGCUUAUCAGCUUGUUGGUGGGGUAGUGGCUUACCAAGGCUUUGACGGGUAGCCGGCCUGAGAGGGUGACCGGCCACAUUGGGACUGAGAUACGGCCCAGACUCCUACGGGAGGCAGCAGUGGGGAAUAUUGCACAAUGGGCGGAAGCCUGAUGCAGCAACGCCGCGUGCGGGAUGACGGCCUUCGGGUUGUAAACCGCUUUCGCCUGUGACGAAGCGUGAGUGACGGUAAUGGGUAAAGAAGCACCGGCUAACUACGUGCCAGCAGCCGCGGUGAUACGUAGGGUGCGAGCGUUGUCCGGAUUUAUUGGGCGUAAAGGGCUCGUAGGUGGUUGAUCGCGUCGGAAGUGUAAUCUUGGGGCUUAACCCUGAGCGUGCUUUCGAUACGGGUUGACUUGAGGAAGGUAGGGGAGAAUGGAAUUCCCGGUGGAGCGGUGGAAUGCGCAGAUAUCAGGAGGAACACCAGUGGCGAAGGCGGUUCUCUGGGCCUUUCCUGACGCUGAGGAGCGAAAGCGUGGGGAGCGAACAGGCUUAGAUACCCUGGUAGUCCACGCUGUAAACGGUGGGUACUAGGUGUGGGGUCCAUUCCACGGGUUCCGUGCCGUAGCUAACGCUUUAAGUACCCCGCCUGGGGAGUACGGCCGCAAGGCUAAAACUCAAAGGAAUUGACGGGGCCCCGCACAAGCGGCGGAGCAUGCGGAUUAAUUCGAUGCAACGCGUAGAACCUUACCUGGGUUUGACAUGGAUCGGGAGCGCUCAGAGAUGGGUGUGCCUCUUUUGGGGUCGGUUCACAGGUGGUGCAUGGCUGUCGUCAGCUCGUGUCGUGAGAUGUUGGGUUAAGUCCCGCAACGAGCGCAACCCUUGUUCACUGUUGCCAGCACGUUAUGGUGGGGACUCAGUGGAGACCGCCGGGGUCAACUCGGAGGAAGGUGGGGAUGACGUCAAGUCAUCAUGCCCCUUAUGUCCAGGGCUUCACGCAUGCUACAAUGGCUGGUACAGAGAGUGGCGAGCCUGUGAGGGUGAGCGAAUCUCGGAAAGCCGGUCUCAGUUCGGAUUGGGGUCUGCAACUCGACCUCAUGAAGUCGGAGUCGCUAGUAAUCGCAGAUCAGCAACGCUGCGGUGAAUACGUUCCCGGG
This 1343-nucleotide ribosomal RNA is filed under the name uncultured bacterium. Its description in RNAcentral is "16S ribosomal RNA". It matches the Rfam family "Bacterial small subunit ribosomal RNA", at positions 28 to 1378 of the family's 1533-position model. The record is from RNAcentral.